This 703-nucleotide ribosomal RNA is filed under the name Staphylococcus saprophyticus. RNAcentral's name for it is "bacterial SSU rRNA". It matches the Rfam family "Bacterial small subunit ribosomal RNA", at positions 109 to 799 of the family's 1533-position model. Lineage: Bacteria; Bacillati; Bacillota; Bacilli; Caryophanales; Staphylococcaceae. The record is from RNAcentral.
AGUAACACGUGGGUAACCUACCUAUAAGACUGGGAUAACUUCGGGAAACCGGAGCUAAUACCGGAUAACAUUUGGAACCGCAUGGUUCUAAAGUGAAAGAUGGUUUUGCUAUCACUUAUAGAUGGACCCGCGCCGUAUUAGCUAGUUGGUAAGGUAACGGCUUACCAAGGCGACGAUACGUAGCCGACCUGAGAGGGUGAUCGGCCACACUGGAACUGAGACACGGUCCAGACUCCUACGGGAGGCAGCAGUAGGGAAUCUUCCGCAAUGGGCGAAAGCCUGACGGAGCAACGCCGCGUGAGUGAUGAAGGGUUUCGGCUCGUAAAACUCUGUUAUUAGGGAAGAACAAACGUGUAAGUAACUGUGCACGUCUUGACGGUACCUAAUCAGAAAGCCACGGCUAACUACGUGCCAGCAGCCGCGGUAAUACGUAGGUGGCAAGCGUUAUCCGGAAUUAUUGGGCGUAAAGCGCGCGUAGGCGGUUUCUUAAGUCUGAUGUGAAAGCCCACGGCUCAACCGUGGAGGGUCAUUGGAAACUGGGAAACUUGAGUGCAGAAGAGGAAAGUGGAAUUCCAUGUGUAGCGGUGAAAUGCGCAGAGAUAUGGAGGAACACCAGUGGCGAAGGCGACUUUCUGGUCUGUAACUGACGCUGAUGUGCGAAAGCGUGGGGAUCAAACAGGAUUAGAUACCCUGGUAGUCCACG